Molecule: ribosomal RNA, 253 nt
Filed under: uncultured bacterium
Lineage: Bacteria
Description: partial 16S ribosomal RNA
Rfam family: Bacterial small subunit ribosomal RNA
Source: RNAcentral
UACGUAGGUGGCAAGCGUUGUCCGGAAUUAUUGGGCGUAAAGAGCGUGUAGGCGGCCAGACAGGUCCGUUGUGAAAACUCGAGGCUCAACCUCGAGAUGUCGAUGGAAACCGUCUGGCUAGAGUCCGGAAGAGGAGUGUGGAAUUCCUGGUGUAGCGGUGAAAUGCGCAGAUAUCAGGAGGAACACCGGUGGCGAAGGCGGGUCUCUGGGCCGAAAUUGACGCUGAGGAGCGAAAGCGUGGGGAGCAAACAGG